This 253-nucleotide ribosomal RNA is filed under the name uncultured bacterium. RNAcentral describes it as "partial 16S ribosomal RNA". It matches the Rfam family "Bacterial small subunit ribosomal RNA", at positions 524 to 776 of the family's 1533-position model. The record is from RNAcentral.
UACGGAGGGGGCUAGCGUUGUUCGGAAUUACUGGGCGUAAAGCGCGCGUAGGCGGCUUUGUAAGUUAGAGGUGAAAGCCCGGGGCUCAACCCCGGAAUUGCCUUUAAGACUGCAUCGCUUGAAUCCAGGAGAGGUGAGUGGAAUUCCGAGUGUAGAGGUGAAAUUCGUAGAUAUUCGGAAGAACACCAGUGGCGAAGGCGGCUCACUGGACUGGUAUUGACGCUGAGGUGCGAAAGCGUGGGGAGCAAACAGG